Cyanistes caeruleus (blue tit) is the source of this 2184-nucleotide non-coding RNA. NCBI's taxonomy places the organism in Eukaryota, Metazoa, Chordata, Aves, Passeriformes, Paridae. The record is from RefSeq and is a predicted model, not a curated record.
GUUUCGAUCUGGGAACUUCCCAUGUGAACAUAAGUAGAAUUUCGCUGUUUUAGUUGUGUACAAGAUGUGUCUGAAACACCCUCAUUCUUUUUUUGUGCUAACUUUGUCAGUCCAAUGAGUAAAAAAAAAGAAAAAAACAAAAAAAAGAGCCAUGGUAACAGUGAAUAUUACAAGUGGGAGCUUGGACGAAAUUUCAAGGCCUGCAUCUAUCUCAAGACCUAAUUGUAGAUCUUUAAAUACAUCUACAUCUAUGGAGUUAUUAACACCAGAACCAUGUUUGCAAAAGAUUGAUUCACCUGACAGUUUGCCUGAUGGUUAUCGGAGAGGCAGUCUAGAAGAUUGCUGUCCAGCAGAAAACAAAGGUGAUGACAGAGAUAAAUCUGAAGUUGAGGAACUAAGAACAGAUCAGCAAAUAGUGGCAAGUACGACCACAUCUCUUCAGAAGUGCCUGUGGAAUCCCGAUGAGUUGUCAGGAUGUAGCUCUAUUUCAGAUUCUGGAGAUGAAAGCACUGAAACACAGAUGUUGAAGUUCUUUGAACCUUCCCCAGGACAACGAACAGACUCUUCUGACUUGGAAUAUUCUGAAGAUGCAGUUACAAAUGCUCAGAUUCAAGCAGCUAUAAAGAAAAUGAAUAAACUUGACACAAUACUUGAAGAACAGCAUUUUAAGGAAAAAGUAGUUAAAAAGCAAGGCAGAGAAAUGAGGGCAAUGCUCUGGGAAGAACUUCAGUCUAUCAGAAGCAUAGGAAGCCAUGAGGAGGUGGAAAACACAAACCAGUUUUUAGCUUUGUUCUCAUCAUGGCGUGAUACAGCUGAUCCCUCCCGUGCUAAAGAAGAUGAAAUAUCUACUUCAGUAUUUCCCACAUACAUGAAUCCUGAAGAUUAUGAUUGCCAUAAAGACCAAGAAAACCAGGAUUACUCAAGUGAAUUAAAAACUGAAAAAACAGCAGAAAAAACGCAUAGCAAAAAUAAAACCAGCCAGCAUUUCAUUAAAAAGAACAUUGAGCUAGCAAAGGAUUCAGGAAACCAAUUUGUUAUGCUUGAGGGAGAAAGGAAAAGAUUAACUGAACUAUUGAAAGAUACAGAAGAUGGGACUGAAUUGCAAGAUCUUGAGGAGAAUGUAGCUGUCUGGCAGGCACCAGGAGAAGGGUACACACCUGAAUUGACAGAAAUUCAUCUCCUGAAUGAGAUAGACAAUAAGCUUCAACUGCUUCUUUCUGAUGGAGAGUUUCCUGCUCUUUCCAGCUCUGGCUCAAAAUGUCCAAGCCAGAUGUAUCAGGAGUCUCUGGUUUGUGCAAAUAGAAGCCCAGAAACAGUUCCAGGUGAAAAGGUUCUGCGGGACAAUAAAGAAAAACGUGAUCAACAGAAUCGUCUGAAAGAAAUUGAUUAUCAGCUGGAAUCCCUAGGGAGAAGGCUUACUGAAGAACAAAUGAGCCUCUCUGAAGAGCAGAUUAAGACCCUUCUGGAAGAAUGUAUGCAGCCUCAGAGAACAAUAAGUAACGUUACCAUGCCACAGUCUCAGGAAUCUCUUUCUUUUGGAUUAAGUCCCCCCUGUUACACAAGUCAAGACUCCACUCUUCACUCCACAUCUAGUCUUUCCAAAAUGUUAGUUGAAGACCAUAUUGUAGGGAUGUUAAUGGCUCAGGAAAAGGCUGGACUUGAAGACAAAAGCUUAUGUGUUAAUGCAGAGAGCAAAAUCCCUGGCUACUAUAUCAGCAAAGCACUGGCUGGUAGUCACUUAUCAAAGGAUUCACUGGCCCAAACAGAGGAACCUGAUGACCUAGAAGGUUUACAGAAGAUGGAAGAUAAGAGUAUUACUGAGGGUUACUUUAUGUCAAGAGCACUCAACACAAAAAGAUUGAAGAAACCUUCUUUCUUGGGUGAACCAUUAUAUUGCAUCAGCAUGAACAAUGAGCCAUCCACAGAGGCUGACAUUCUCAGCAUACCACUGCAAACCAAAGGAGAUUUUUAACCUAAGACUAGUUCUCUUCCUGGGAGGCCAGCUGAUCAAAUAAGCCAGAUUUUAGGCAGAUCAUAUGAACAUUGAAAUUUGAGGGGAGAGUGACAAUAUACUUCUCUGCACAACUGUGUUCCAAAAGUGUAGCUAAACCUCUAUCAGUGUUAUUACACUGAUGCAGUAUCAUAUAAAGCAAUCUGAUGGGAAUAAAUUAUCAUAAUUGAAAA